GUCCUGGCUGUAAACGGUGCACGUUUGCUGUAAAAGGAAUCGACCCCUUUUGUGGCGAAGCUAACGCGAUAAACGUGCCGCCUGGGAAGUACGGUCGCAAGAUUAAAACUCAAAGAAAUUGACGGGGGCCUGCACAAGCGGUGGAGUAUGUGGCUUAAUUCGAUGCAACGCGAAGAACCUUACCUGGCCUUGACAUGCACGUGGUAGAACCAUGAAAGUGGGACGACCCCGCAAGGGGAGCGUGCACAGGUGCUGCAUGGCUGUCGU
This 267-nucleotide ribosomal RNA is filed under the name uncultured bacterium. Its description in RNAcentral is "partial 16S ribosomal RNA". It matches the Rfam family "Bacterial small subunit ribosomal RNA", at positions 793 to 1055 of the family's 1533-position model. The record is from RNAcentral.